UGGGGAAUUUUGGACAAUGGGGGAAACCCUGAUCCAGCCAUCCCGCGUGUGCGAUGAAGGCCUUCGGGUUGUAAAGCACUUUUGGCAGGAAAGAAACGUCAUGGGUUAAUACCCCGUGAAACUGACGGUACCUGCAGAAUAAGCACCGGCUAACUACGUGCCAGCAGCCGCGGUAAUACGUAGGGUGCAAGCGUUAAUCGGAAUUACUGGGCGUAAAGCGUGCGCAGGCGGUUCGGAAGGAAAGAUGUGAAAUCCCAGAGCUCAACUUUGGAACUGCAUUUUUAGCUACCGGCCUAGAGUGUGUCAGAGGGAGGUGGAAUUCCGCGUGUAGCAGUGAAAUGCGUAGAUAUGCGAAGGAACACCGAUGGCGAAGGCAGCCUCCUGGGAUAACACUGACGCUCAUGCACGAAAGCGUGGGGAGCAAACAGG
RNAcentral lists this ribosomal RNA (429 nucleotides) under Acidobacteriota bacterium. Its description in RNAcentral is "Acidobacteria bacterium partial 16S ribosomal RNA". It matches the Rfam family "Bacterial small subunit ribosomal RNA", at positions 355 to 776 of the family's 1533-position model. Lineage: Bacteria; Pseudomonadati; Acidobacteriota. The record is from RNAcentral.